RNAcentral lists this long non-coding RNA (10297 nucleotides) under Hordeum vulgare. RNAcentral describes it as "long non-coding RNA (HVUL_LNC002549)". The stretch from base 482 to 606 matches the Rfam family "MIR1120/MIR1122 microRNA precursor family". Lineage: Eukaryota; Viridiplantae; Streptophyta; Magnoliopsida; Poales; Poaceae. The record is from RNAcentral.
GCAGGGCCUAUCGCAAUGUGUACAUGUAGCACACAGCUACGCUUUAUACGAUAGCUUUGAGUCUUUAAGACAACUGCCUUUAGCUACUCCUUUCCUCAAGCGUAGCUGCUGGUGAUGCAACUCGGAAGUUAGCAGGAUUCGGGGACGCUUUGUGGUUGAUCUUCUUGCUAGCCCAAUCAAGUCAAUGUAAGCUCGCUAUUUUUCUUGUCAUUCUCGACCAAUUUGGCAACCGCGCGCAUUACCUAGCGCAUCUCUUAAUUUACUUCAUUUAUCAUGAUGCGUAGUUCAUAUGUAAAGCUUUUUUCCAAAACCGGGUUUUGUUAGCUGUUAUCCCACAUUUGGUAUGGCUUACCUACAAUAUAUAGCAUAAUUAGGAGUAAGCAGCGGUACUAGCCAUGUGAGUAUAUAUAUAACCACCUAGAUAGUAUAUGCAUAUGACUUUAUGACUUUUUUGGUUGCUGGUGUCUGGAGUUUCCCUUUUCACAUACUCCCUUCGUCCGGAAAUACUUGUCAUGGGAAUGGAUGUAUCUAGAUGUAUUUUAGUUCUAAAUACAUCCAUUUUUAUUCACUUGUGUGACAAGUAAUUUCGGACGGAGAUUGUAUUAAUUUUCCAUAUAUUGGAAGAACAUGUCAAAAUUACUCUUUUUAUACAUAGUUUGCCUUCCGCAUCUUGUAAAUGGUAUGUUAAUAAUAUUUUCAUAUUUAUACUCAUAAGUAGUUUCAUAAAAGGAAUUAUACGUACUAUCUAAAAUGUCAUAUAUAUACUAAAUAAUCUUGUAUAUAUACACUACAUGAUACAACUAAAUACACUCAUGUAUGUAAUAUACUAUCUAGUUUGAGUAAACACAUGAGGGGUGUAGCGAUAACAUAUGAAGUGUACACACACUAAUAUGGGAAGUACACUCUUAUGUAAAAAAUACUUCAAACGCUAUCAACUUGUUAUAUAGAUCGAGAUGAGGACUUCAAUCUAUGAAAUUAAUCUCAAGCCAACAAAUGUCAAAGGUUAUUUUAUUUUGAAAUUUUGUUUUUAGAAGGCAGGAAGCAAAAGCAUCCCUGGUACCUCCCCGCCUCUUUAUGUCUUCCCUUGUAUCUCCUAUCACGCCCGCAUAGUGAUAGGGGAGAGAGUUGGCCAUUUCCUAACAUUUGUGCAGGGAAACCCUUUUCUAACGCCUGAAGGCUCUCUCCCUCUCCCUCCCCCCGCCCCCCCCCCCUCUCUCUCUCUUUCAUAUUAACUCUACAACAUUGAAUAAUACAAUACGAGCAUCUCUCAUAGGUCCCCUAGAAACAUACCUGCAUGGUUUUGUCCGUGUGUUGGGGUGGGGGGGGGGGGCUGAGGGAAAACAAAUCUCUAGUAGGGUCCUUACAAUGUCCCCACAAAUGGGAGGCACCCAAAAAUGUCCCAGCCCAACUGAUACAGGCACCCUACGCUAGUGCAGCUCAUGUUUCGCGCUAGCAUAUAGAACUUUGACCAUGCGCCAAUAACUCACCUUCAUCUCACAUUCACUAAUACAAAACUGGGUGAUCGAUGACGGUAGCAUGCCAUCAUAGAUAAAUACAAAACCAACAUAGAAGUGCAUCCAUGAUAGGUCUGAAACACAUCAUGCAUGUUGCGUCAUUGAUUAAACCAUGAGACGGUUUUUUGAAACUGUGACAGACUUGAAAGUGACGUUCUUGACUAUCACUCCCGUCCCAUACAUGUCUAUCCCAGAUUACACCCAUGCAUUUAUGACGGUCGAACGUCAUAGGUUAAAAUUGCAUGGCAAACAAUGUGGAUAUGACAUGGCGACUCGUAUAGGAAUCAAGCAAAUUAAGGCGUUUCUCCACUCAUGUUGUUCGGUAUGUCUCUAGAACACCAAUUUCAGUCCAGACCAUUAGCACAUUUCGUUAUAUUUAUGACCAUAUUUUGGCCCCAACAAGUUUUUUAGAAUAUACCUUCUCAUGUCAUUAAAGAGAAGAAAAUUCACACAAACACAUCCAAGAAAAUUGCAUGUUUAUAGAAACACACCCAAAAAAAGUAUAUACACCACAUAAAGCAUUAAGACAAGACACAUGCCUAGGAGCGAAACGAAAAAAGUACAAUAAAAACUAAAAGUGGAAAAAAAGUCGCCAUAGGUCUAUAUACCCCUCUACAAUAGUAGUGACCAUAAGCAUCCACAAUCGCCUCUAGCUCACGGAAGGUCCCCUAUGGACCAUUUCUCCAUGGUUGAGGCCAUGACUUUGGUGGUCUUGAUGGUGGCAUUGUUUGCCAUUUCGCAUGUGUCCGCAUUAGCGGACGACCACAAAUGUCUCCCAUGUACGCUAGCAGGGAUGCUAUCUCCAUGAUAGAACUACCGAGCUCUCAAAUUCGCGACUUGUGCGCUGACAUUGAUGGUCCUCACAAUUCUGUGACGGCUAUUAAGUUUCAACCACAUGAACAAUUAUUUGUCAUUUUAACGUAUUUAGACUACAACUUUCUUUAACCUCUAUAUGCGCAAAUAUAAACCGAAGUUCCAUCAAUUUAAUAAUUGUAAUUUUUUUGAAAUAAUAAGUCAAGACACCCUCUAGUACCUUAAAAAAAUAUUUACCUAAAUGCUUGAUUUUUAAUACAUGGAAAAUACUACAUCAUAUUUUAAAUUUCAAUGUUAGGGGUUUAUUAUGAAUUCAUUCACUAUUAUUUCGAUAUUAAAUUCAAAUAUUUCUCUUUAUAGGAUCUAAUUCAAUUUUUCACCACAUUUAUCACAGUAAGGCCUAUAAAUGAAAAUAAUUUCAAUAUUUCGUUAAUCCAAUACAAUUUUAGCUCUUCUCUAGAAAAUAUAUGGAAAGUUCAAAUGGAUGUUAGGAUUAUUUGAAUUAUGUUUAGAAUAUCAAAUUGCACUCAUUUGUUAACAUUAUAUUUAAUCAUAGAAAUAAAAUACAUGAAAAUGACAUGAAUAAAUAGAUGGAAUAUUGUGAAAAGGUCCAUAUAUUAGUCUACAUUAUGUGAGUUCAAAAAAUAUGAACUAGAUAUGAUUUUAUCAAGACUAAUUUAGUUUUAUUAUUAUUUAAAGAAGAAAAUAAAGGGAAGGGGAAAUUUUUGUUGGCCUUGGAUGACAUAUUAUGCCAUGAACCAAUCACUACCAUUAAUUUGACAAGUUUUAAUCUACGAAAAUAAUCCUCCAUUCAUCAUUGAACGUGUCACUUAAGGAGCAUGCUGAGUCCAAUUUUGAUCCGUUAUGAAAAUAACAUAAUUUAGUCCAGUUAAUGAAAAUUGUAAGAAUGUCACCAGAAAUUCAGCAUAAGUCAACGAAUUCCUUGUAGUGGGAGCGACACCAUUUCCUAUGGCCUCCUUCGUUCCGAUGAGCUAUCUGGUGAUGGCUCCGCCCCACCCGCCACCGCGAAGCCACACGGGUUCUUCCCAUGCACCAUCCACCUUUGUCACAACGAUGGAGAUGACCUUGCCACAACCAUCAUCCCCUUAAGCCUCUCUGGUCUCCUCCACCACUCCACCGUGGUCGCACCCUAAAGACGCGAUGGGGACGACCUUGCCACAAUCGUCAUCCCCUGAAGCGUCUCUGGUCUCCUCGCCAUCGCCCAAGUGCCGCAGGGCAAUGCCCGGGCGGAGAAUGAUGGUUGUGGCGAGGAAAUCAGAUGCGCCAACUGCUAGGGUGGGGAGCAAGAAGUCUAAAUACAACUAUCCAUUCCUCAGCAGAAACUAGGCGCUUCUCCAUACACGUGAUUUUGUAUGCACAUGUUUGAAAGUAUGUUUAUGCUUCUAAUUUCAUGCACGAUUCUUGACGGCUUAUCAAUAUUCCUACACAAUUCUUGGUUGAAAGUGGACAGCUAGCUGGCUAGCUACUGCAGCACGAAAGAUCAAAAUCGUAUGUACGUUGACUUGACAGUGUACAUGAUAAGGUCUCGAAACAGGCUUUCGUCUUGCUGUAUUUAUAAAGCUCCAACCAAACAUAGUGCACGGCCGAACGGUACAAAGGGAUGGUGUAGCCCUCACACAAUACCGAUCCCAGGGUACCCGAAUUACGCAACACGCACGCGGCUAUGCUACCAAAAUAGAUUACAGGAAGAAUCAAGAACAACACUACUCUAAGCCCUAUCGCAUCUAAGUUCCACGACAACGCCCUCAAGAGGAAGAACUGUGCUAAGCGUCGCCGUUGUUGAGUCCCAAAGAGACAUAGGUUUCAACCCGGAAUCCGGACACGGAGAGGAGCACCACGACGACGUCUUCAUAAAGAUAACGGUCCGCGAGCGUCGCCAUCUUGGGUAACAAAGUGCAGAGUUUUCACUCGGCAACUCCCAUGCGUCCCUAAGGAGGUCUCUAGGGAAGCUUGACGAGCCCAGAACUCCAGAUCUGGAUCGGGGCAACGCCAUCGUCGAAGACAUAGAGUGCGCCCGAGCCACUCGCUCCACCACCUCUUGCAGCCCAAACGACCAAGAGAGAAUGCCAUCACCUCCGCCAUGGUGCCUACUAGACAUCUCACCACGUGCACCGCCAUCCGGGGCCGUCACCCCGGCAUCCAUGUCCAAGGAUCCCCUAACUGCCCACGUCAUAGUGAAACUACCAUGGUAGGAAGAGUAAAAGGGGUCUUCUUUCACUCCUAGCCUGACAUCAGCCACGGAGUAUGGGUCAAGGCCUCCACAGUAGGAGGCACACAUGCCUGAAUCUCCAGCUAGUCUUGGUGGACCGGGAAAGACACUACGCCGUGACUGAGCACACUCACACAUUGCCAUGUCCAUGGCCCAUAUCGAUCCGCCCAACAGUGUAGCAGAUCCACAACCACCACCAACUCGCACCGUACCCGGAAGGAGAGGGACCGCCAGCACGGGCACCACCCGGAUCAAGCCCAAGCACACGAACCCGGAGCAUGAACUCCGACUCACCAGGGCUCCGACAAGAUCCGCCGACCACGAGCCGCGGCUCGCCGCACACCGCCGGCCUAAAGCUAGGGGAAAGCACCACCCGGCGUCGUCGGCAAGGGUACGACACCCAGCCUUGCGCCGCCACCCCACAUACCCGCACCACCCGCGCCCUGGACGAGGUCAACCCAGUCGCCGACGCUGGUAAUUACCCUCACCAUGGCACGCCCCCCUCUCCAGCCACCUCCAGCACCAAGGGCCAUCGGAGACAGCCAAACCUCGUUGCCUAGGCCCGCGCCGUCCGCAUGCAGCCGGUCGGAGGAGCUGCCUGCCAGAUCUGUAUUGGGCAGUCCGAACCCGACGGAGCCCACAUCGCAGAUACGCACUGCCGCGCUCCCAGUAGCCCACCACACACUUCCACUAGCCUCCACCGUCGCCAUGCGCCGUGCCCUGCCCAGUGUUCCACAUACACAUGAGGAGGCCGCCCCCGUGCCAGCCCUUUGCGGGCGAGUCGAUGAGGGGUGGGGGAUGACGGCUGGCGGAAGUAGGUUUGCCGCCCUCCCCCCUUCAUGGGAGCCGGUCAGGCGAGGAAGGGGGAACACUUUACCGCAGGUAAGCCACACACUCGAUAAGUUGUUGUGUGGUAACCCAAAGGUAGCAGUGUCAUGCUCCGGAGUGCAGAUGGUCACUUUGUUUAGAGUUGGGAGGUGUCAUGCCGACAGUUUGAGAUGCCCUAGCACAAUAUUAUACAAUUAGGCUGAUCUUGCAGUAUUUAACUGUUCGUUGGCUCAUAGGUUGAAUCAUGUGGUUUCUUUAAUGAAAAUCGGACCGGGAGGCCCUUCUUCUAUACCUAUAUAUAUAUAUANCUAACGACUCAGACACAAACAAAAAACUAAAGACAUACUCUUUUUUUUGUUUUUUUUGUAAGGGCCAGAUGACCAUAAAAAUCUACACGUUGCAUCGUCGGCGGCAGCGUCAGAUGUGUAUAAGAGACAGGCGCAAGGAAGCCGGCCUCGCCGCUCCCAUGGCAGCGGCCGCCGUGCUCGCUGGCGCGCAUUCGCGGCACGCCAUCUUCCGCGAGGAGCUCGUGAGGAGAGCCUACUACACGGCCGAGGCGGCCCACCGCGGGCACUCGAGCCAGCCCGCGGCUACAGGUUCUAGCAUUGAAUUGGAGAACAGGAGACAACUACUUGAGGAUGUUGAUAAGAGUGGCUACUGAAGCAGCCCCCGCCGACGCCACUAGGCUGCUUGCUGCUCGCACCGUCUCCGCGCGCGCCAUAGCUGCACAGCCCGCCGUCCUGCUCGGGACGCUGAGAAUAUCCGCGGCAUGCGACGUCUAGACUUUAGACGAUCUGCGGCACUCUGCAUCAAGGAGAUCGGUGAAGCAGUCUGCAUUGACGAGAUCACCCGGUAUUCUAGGUGGUCGGUACGCUGUCCUCCGCUUCAAAGUGUCAACUGAAAUUUGGAUAGUACGUGUAUAUGCACCAGGGCUGGUUUGGUCUUUUCCAGUGCUUAUAAAUGUUAAAGGAAAAUGAAAAUCAAAAGUAGGAGGAAAGUGGCAUGAUAAUCAAGGAGCCAACGAGCUGAGUGGCAAAUGUGCGAAGCCAAUCUUGAAAAUGACAAUUUUAAGAAGCCAUAUAUUGAAAGUGGCAGAUUUCCAAUUUUCUCCUCUGUAAUUGGUGCAGAUUGCGGUUUUGGUAUUUUCUCGGGAAAGCUAGCUACUAUUGUUUGAUAUUUUGUUAGGCCAACAACGAUUUCACAAAAAAGGAAAUUCGAGUAAACUUCCUUCAGUUAAUGAGUCUUAGUUUUGCUCCGUUACAGUUAUGUUUUACUUUUAUGGUUAUAAGUGAACUAGAGGAUUUGAUUUACACUUCAGUUAAUGCAGAUGAGAUGACAAGGUUGACAACAUGAGUUUUUGUCAUUACAGUGAUGUGGUCCUUUGUUAAAGGAUUCAAUGCAUCUCGAUAAAUUCUAAGGUAUACUGUAUUUUUGAUGUUCCUAGAUACCCAAGCAAGGGAGACAAAGAUAAUGGGUCGAGUAAGAAGAAGAAAAGUGAGUUAAACGUGAACAAAAAUCCGUAAUGCUAUCUGACCUGCACAAGGAUCCUAAGGAUACAUAUUUGACAUGUUCGAUAAUAGUGCACCAUUAGAAUAUCUAUGCAUUCGAGUUCGAUUCUCAGGCCUUGCAUUCUCCCGUUGCAACGAACGGGCUCUUUUGCUAGUAUAUUAAAAAAAUAUUACUGUUCAUCAAUAAUUGAACGUAUCUACAGUUAUCGGAUUGCAGGAUCAAGCUUGCAACAAUGUCUGUGGAGCCGUUGGAUUUUUGGAUUAACUGGGCAAGCCAGAUUGGGGUUCUGUUGAGCCUAGCCUUCCAGGUCAUCCUCCAUCUCUUUCCCAACGUACGUCGGCGUAGUAGCUCAGCUAUGCUGAGAGGGUGCUUGGAUACGUUUUAGUCCCAUGACUAAAAGUAGUGAGACUAAAACUUGCUAGCCUCACCCAUGCUUGGAUCCAAGUACUAGAGAGACUAAAAUCAAGUUAAUGAGCAUUUAUUAUCCUCCAAACCCUCCAAUCCAGAACUUGCAUGAGGAGUUAAAUGAGGAGAGAGAGGACUAAUGCACAUUUUAGUAGGGGUACCCUUGACUAAAAGAUUUUAGCCUCAAGACUAGUUUUAGCCUCUCUUUAGUCAGGGGUGCUUGGAACUUUAGCCUCUUAAAGAGACUAGUUUUAGUCAGACUAGUUUUAGUCUCUUGGAUCCAAGCACCCUCUGAGGGUUCCCCUCUGGCUGGCGUACCAGCUGUCGGACAUGACCGCAAUAUACGCUGCCGGCCAGCUCCUAUACAACAGCAACACACCGCAAGACCACCAGCUGAUUGCCUUGUGGGCGCCAUUCCUCAUGCUGCACCUCGUGUUGGGAUAAACCCACCGGCGACCCAAACGCCGGACAAAGGUAGACGAAGGAGACACCGUGAUUUUUCCGGUGACGAACGCCGCGGCGCACCAACGCCUGUAUCCUGGCUUUAUUUCUCACAACGACUCGACAUACAUGAGGUACACACGCACGCACACGGCACAAUCCGGAAGAACUCUCACGUCGACCGGACACACAUCACAGUCCUGACGGAGACUACAUCUUCUAGGCCCCUCACACUUGGCUCGGCACACCCCGUCGCUCGGCAACACACCGGAGCACGGCCACACACACCUGCACCCUUCACAACCAAUGUACAGGGGCUUUUAUACCCGGGCUAGUACAGACGCACACCACUAACCCGGCCACUACUAGCACUACCGGCUCACCACGCACACACGACCUGGCUCCAUGUAGCUAACAACCAGCUAACUACAUGCACGUCCGUAUCCAACUGCUGCAUGCACGCACUAACUGCUCGCUACAUCCAAGCAAUGCACGAGCAGCCCGCGACUCAUGCCAACGGCCAAACAAACUACGUGCAUGCAGCUGACUAACCUCUAUGCUAACCAACUGAUUCAAGACCAAAUCAAAGUCAUGAUUAUCCUAACACCUCGGUGGUCCGGACAACAUCACUGCGUAUGCACUUGAGGAUAGCAAGCUCUGGAAGCGUCACUUGCUGAUCCUUGUGGUGCAAGUUGCGGGAGCCGGAUAUGUCCUCUACAAGUACAUCGCCGGCAGUGGGAUCUUCAUCACACUGGCUGCCAUCUUGAUACUCGUUGUUGGUGUUGCAAAGUAUGGGGAGAGGACAUGGGCACUCCGGGCAGCCAACUUCAGCAUUCUUCAGAGCUCUCUCAAGGCGACCAAACAAAAAAAGAAAACAAACAAGGUACCAAGGCGCGACCAACACUUUUAUCAAGAAUGGUAUAGUGACUUGGCGGACGAGCGCAUUCUGCAGCGUGCUCACUCCCUUUUUCAUAUCUGCAAGCGCGGGCUAGUUGAUUCAGUGAUCGAGAUAGAUGACCCCAAUAGCUCGAGUAAGGUAACAAUAGAGGAACUCAAGAACAACCAUGAGAAAAUGUGGAGGGUGAUGGAGAUGGAACUCUCCCUCAUGUAUGAUAUCCUCUACACCAAGGCAAACGUGAUCCACUCUUGGGUUGGCUACUGCAUACGUAUCAUAUCUCCUUUUGCUGUCAUCGCCUCACUCGUGUUGUUCGAGUUGAGCGACAAAGAUGGCUACAGCCGAGUGGAUAUUGCAAUCACACACACCUUGUUGGGUGGUGCCCUGGUUCUAGAGACGAAAUCGCUCCUUGGCGCACUAGGGUCGAGCUGGGCGCUUGGUUUCUUGUGUGCCACGCGAUUAGAUUGGCUCCGUCAUUCAGCUUUGUGCACCGGAAGAUGGUAUCAGCUACGGCGCACAAUUCUUUCUCUUCGCCGGUCCUGGCCUGGCAAGAUAAUCAUGACGGGAAGCUCAAGGAGGUGGUCAGGCACCAUAGGUCAGCACAACAUGCUGCGUUUUCGUGCUGGACAGGUGGAUCCCAUGAGUCGCCGGCUCGGCAGUCUGUUCAAGAUGAUGGGACUUGAUGAGUGGUGUAACACGAGAAAGUUGUGGACCAUCGAUGUCUCUGAGAAGGUCAAGGAGCGUGCAAGGAAGUGGAUGGCAAAAACAGGUGACAUGAACACAAUGGGCCUGCGAAGGACUAAAUGGGGUGAGCUGGCACUGAAUCACAAGGAUUACCCUAAGCUGUUGGAGAAGUUGGAGGAUUAUAAUUUAGUUGACUUCCAUGAGAGCGUCAUCUGCUGGCACAUCGCCACCCACAUAAUCCUUGCUAAAGAAGAACAAUGGGGCGACAACGAUGUGGAGAAUGUGGAGGUGGUCAGUGUAGUGUCCAAUUACAUGAUGUUCCUCCUUGUGGACUCCCCUGAAAUGCUACCGGGCCUUCCCCAAAACUGGUUGUACGAGCAAACCUGCAAGCAACUGGACAAUAUUUGCCAAAAAGUUACCGAUUCUCGUAGCAACAAUUUCUUCACCGUGCUCAUUAACUUGUUCCGACCAGACCAUCACCGUGACUGGGAACCUUCUAAACUUGAGAAGGACAUCGCCAGUGCCAUAUUAAAGGAAGGGGGAGCUACUAACUCUGAAAAUCCUCGGCUCACUUAUGCAUGUGUCAUUGCUGACACGCUUCUUGCUAGGGAGGAAAAUGUGGUUACUGCUCUGCUAAACUUGUGGUUGGACUUCUUGACCUACGCAGCCAACCGGUGCAACAGGGAGGCGCACGCGAGGAAACUCAGCACCGGCGGUGAGUUGCUGACCAUCAUCUGGCUUUAUCUGGAACAUCUCCACCAAGUUAAAGAAAGAAGAAGAUAGGGUUAGAACCUUGUAUAAUUCACUCUACUGUGACGAAUAUCCAGAAGUAUUCUUCAUUUUUUAUUUUGUAAGCAUACCUUUCUUCAGUUCAGCACUUCUUGCUUAGUUUCCUGUUGUUUGAUGAAUAUUUGUAAGCAAUAAAUCCAAGUUGUACCUUGGUGUGAUCCGCAGUUGAGAAAAUUAGAACUUCAAUUU